Unclassified non-coding RNA from Pongo abelii (Sumatran orangutan), 148 nucleotides. It matches the Rfam family "Metazoan signal recognition particle RNA". From Rfam's summary of the family: The signal recognition particle (SRP) is a universally conserved ribonucleoprotein. It is involved in the co-translational targeting of proteins to membranes. Lineage: Eukaryota; Metazoa; Chordata; Mammalia; Primates; Hominidae. The record is from Ensembl.
GCUGGGCGUGGUGGCGCACGCCUGUAGUCCCAGCUACUUGGAAGGCUGAGGCAGGAGAAUUGCUUGAACCUGGGAGGCAGAGGUUGCAGUGAGCAGAGAUCACGCCACUGCAUUCCAGCCUGGGUAACAGAGCAAGACUUCGUCUCAA